UACGUAGGGGGCAAGCGUUGUUCGGAAUUACUGGGCGUAAAGCGCGUGUAGGCGGUCUGGCAAGUCAGAUGUGAAAUCCCCAGGCUUAACCUGGGAACUGCAUCCGAUACUGGAUGGCUUGAAUCCGGGAGAGGGAUGCAGAAUUCCAGGUGUAGCGGUGAAAUGCGUAGAUAUCUGGAGGAAUACCGGUGGCGAAGGCGGCAUCCUGGACCGGCAUUGACGCUGAGUGAGCGAAAGCCAGGGGAGCAAACGGG
This 254-nucleotide ribosomal RNA is filed under the name uncultured bacterium. RNAcentral describes it as "partial 16S ribosomal RNA". It matches the Rfam family "Bacterial small subunit ribosomal RNA", at positions 524 to 776 of the family's 1533-position model. The record is from RNAcentral.